UUUCCGUAGGUGAACCUGCGGAAGGAUCAUUACAGUAUUAGUAUGUUUUUUCUGCCUGCGCUUAAGUGCGCGGUGGGAGAAGCAAACAACCCUUACACACUGUGUUUUUGUUUUGUUUUAAAUAAUUUGCUUUGGCUUGGCUUUUUUACAAAGUCGGGCCAAAGACCAGUUCUAAACUCAAAUAUUUUUUAUUUGUUUUCUUAAAAAUUAAUUGUCAAUUUUGUUUGAUUAAUUUCAAAAAUAAUCUUCAAAACUUUCAACAACGGAUCUCUUGGUUCUCGCAUCGAUGAAGAACGCAGCGAAAUGCGAUAAGUAAUAUGAAUUGCAGAUUUUCGUGAAUCAUCGAAUCUUUGAACGCACAUUGCGCCCUCUGGUAUUCCGGAGGGCAUGCCUGUUUGAGCGUCAUUUCUCUCUCAAACCGUAAGGUUUGUUGUUGAGCGAUACGCUGCGGUGUUUGCUUGAAAAGUAUUGGCAGAAGCGUACGAGAUAGUACUACACUGGUUAAUUCAAUGUAUUAGGUUUAUCCAACUCGUUGAACAGCGGUGGCAGUAAAUUUCUGGUAAAAAAAAGCAAAGGCUUGGCCUAAUAUAUACUCACGAUAGUUUGACCUCAAAUCAGGUAGGAUUACCCGCUGAACUUAA
RNAcentral lists this unclassified non-coding RNA (641 nucleotides) under [Candida] koratica (nom. ined.). RNAcentral's name for it is "Candida sp. NBRC 103208 partial contains 18S rRNA, ITS1, 5.8S rRNA, ITS2 and 26S RNA". The stretch from base 252 to 405 matches the Rfam family "5.8S ribosomal RNA". The record is from RNAcentral. Lineage: Eukaryota; Fungi; Ascomycota; Pichiomycetes; Serinales; Debaryomycetaceae.